This 720-nucleotide ribosomal RNA is filed under the name uncultured beta proteobacterium. RNAcentral's name for it is "bacterial SSU rRNA". It matches the Rfam family "Bacterial small subunit ribosomal RNA", at positions 46 to 763 of the family's 1533-position model. The record is from RNAcentral. Lineage: Bacteria; Pseudomonadati; Pseudomonadota; Betaproteobacteria.
GCCUAACACAUGCAAGUCGAACGGUAACGCGGGGCAACCUGGCGACGAGUGGCGAACGGGUGAGUAAUAUAUCGGAACGUGCCCAGUCGUGGGGGAUAACGUAGAGAAAUUUACGCUAAUACCGCAUACGAUCUAAGGAUGAAAGCGGGGGAUCGCAAGACCUCGCGCGAUUGGAGCGGCUGAUAUCAGAUUAGGUUGUUGGUGAGGUAAAAGCUCACCAAGCCGACGAUCUGUAGCUGGUUUGAGAGAACGAGCAGCCACACUGGGACUGAGACACGGCCCAGACUCCUACGGGAGGCAGCAGUGGGGAAUUUUGGACAAUGGGCGCAAGCCUGAUCCAGCAAUGCCGCGUGCAGGAAGAAGGCCUUCGGGUUGUAAACUGCUUUUGUACGGAACGAAACGGCUCUUUCUAAUAAAGAGGGCUAAUGACGGUACCGUAAGAAUAAGCACCGGCUAACUACGUGCCAGCAGCCGCGGUAAUACGUAGGGUGCGAGCGUUAAUCGGAAUUACUGGGCGUAAAGCGUGCGCAGGCGGUUAUGUAAGACAGUUGUGAAAUCCCCGGGCUCAACCUGGGAAUUGCAUCUGUGACUGCAUAGCUAGAGUACGGUAGAGGGGGAUGGAAUUCCGCGUGUAGCAGUGAAAUGCGUAGAUAUGCGGAGGAACACCGAUGGCGAAGGCAAUCCCCUGGACCUGUACUGACGCUCAUGCACGAAAGCGUG